CGGUGUUUAACUGGCGUGAUGUGGGACGUCCUACCGGUGGGCUUAGCCUCGCGAGGGGCGGCCCAACUAAUAUCCCGUCGCGGUGCUCUUUACUGAGUGUCGAGUCGGGCCGGUACGUUUACUUUGAACAAAUUAGAGUGCUUAAAGCAGGCUAUCCUCGCCUGAAUACUGCGUGCAUGGAAUAAUGGAAUAGGACCUCGGUUCUAUUUUGUUGGUUUUCGGAACCCCGAGGUAAUGAUUAAUAGGGACAGAUGGGGGCAUUCGUAUUGCGACGUUAGAGGUGAAAUUCUUGGAUCGUCGCAAGACGGACAGAAGCGAAAGCAUUUGCCAAAAAUGUUUUCAUUAAUCAAGAACGAAAGUUAGAGGUUCGAAGGCGAUCAGAUACCGCCCUAGUUCUAACCAUAAACGAUGCCAGCUAGCGAUCCGCCGAAGUUCCUCCGAUGACUCGGCGGGCAGCUUCCGGGAAACCAAAGCUUUUGGGUUCCGGGGGAAGUAUGGUUGCAAAGCUGAAACUUAAAGGAAUUGACGGAAGGGCACCACCAGGAGUGGAGCCUGCGGCUUAAUUUGACUCAACACGGGAAACCUCACCAGGCCCAGACACCGGAAGGAUUGACAGAUUGAUAGCUCUUUCUUGAUUCGGUGGGUGGUGGUGCAUGGGCCCGUUCUUAGUUGGUGGAGCGAUUUGUCUGGUUAAUUCCGAUAACGAACGAGACUCUAGCCUGCUAAAUAGGCGUACCUUAUGGUAUCGCGAAGGCCCCCGGCUUCGGCCGGUGGGUUUUUACUACCAACGUACAAACAAAUCUUCUUAGAGGGACAGGCGG
This 821-nucleotide ribosomal RNA is filed under the name uncultured eukaryote. RNAcentral describes it as "SSU rRNA". It matches the Rfam family "Eukaryotic small subunit ribosomal RNA", at positions 629 to 1426 of the family's 1831-position model. The record is from RNAcentral.